This 839-nucleotide ribosomal RNA is filed under the name Apiospora marii. RNAcentral's name for it is "Arthrinium marii partial large subunit ribosomal RNA". It matches the Rfam family "Eukaryotic large subunit ribosomal RNA", at positions 78 to 943 of the family's 3401-position model. Lineage: Eukaryota; Fungi; Ascomycota; Sordariomycetes; Amphisphaeriales; Apiosporaceae. The record is from RNAcentral.
CCCUAGUAACGGCGAGUGAAGCGGGAACAGCUCAAAUUUGAAAUCUGGCCCUUGGGUCCGAGUUGUAAUUUGCAGAGGAUGCUUUUGGUGCGGUGCCUUCCGAGUUCCCUGGAACGGGACGCCUUAGAGGGUGAGAGCCCCGUACGGUUGGACACCAAGCCUAUGUAAAGCUCCUUCGACGAGUCGAGUAGUUUGGGAAUGCUGCUCAAAAUGGGAGGUAUAUUUCUUCUAAAGCUAAAUAUUGGCCAGAGACCGAUAGCGCACAAGUAGAGUGAUCGAAAGAUGAAAAGCACUUUGAAAAGAGGGUUAAAUAGCACGUGAAAUUGUUGAAAGGGAAGGAUUUAUGACCAGACUUUUUCUAGGGGGAUCGUCCGGUGUUCUCACCGGUGCACUUCCCCUAGUUGAGGCCAGCAUCGGUUUCUGUCGGGGGAUAAAAGCUUCAGGAAUGUGGCUCCCUCCGGGGAGUGUUAUAGCCUGUUGCAUAAUACCCUGACGGGGACCGAGGUUCGCGCAUUGCAAGGAUGCUGGCGUAAUGGUUAUUAAUCACCCGUCUUGAAACACGGACCAAGGAGUCGAACAUUUGUGCGAGUGUUUGGGUGUUAAACCCUCACGCGUAAUGAAAGUGAACGGAGGUGAGAGCCUUUCGGGGUGCAUCAUCGACCGAUCCUGAUGUCUUCGGAUGGAUUUGAGUAAGAGCAUUAAUGUUCGGACCCGAAAGAUGGUGAACUAUGCGUGGAUAGGGUGAAGCCAGAGGAAACUCUGGUGGAGGCUCGCAGCGGUUCUGACGUGCAAAUCGAUCGUCAAAUCUGCGCAUGGGGGCGAAAGACUAAUCGAACCAU